CCAGGCCGGGCAGGGUCGAAGAGCGGGUCUCCGGCCGCCAUUUUGCGGCCGCCCGUGAGGGGCCCGGCCUCACCCCGUGCUCGUGCGUGAGUCCGAGGUGUGUCAGCGCACAUUUAUAUCCGUCGUGGGAACGGGGCCGAGCAGGGAGUGCUCCUGGGAGACGCUCAGGGAAUACAGCUCAGACACAAUUUCCUGUUUAAUUUCCUGGCUGUUUCUUACUUGGUAAAGGAAAAGCUGUAAAUUGCAAGAUUGCUUCAGAGACCUUCGCCUGACUUCAGAUGAACCGUUAACCACUUGCAGGAGAGAAUCCAGCAAACCAGCACAAAACUUGUAAAAACACCCUCAAUUUCUUUUAUAUCUUCUGCCAUUCACACUGAAAGGAAAGCUGUGCCAAAAAUAAAGGUUGGAAUAAUUUUCCUUGGAAAAAUCAAACAGGAGCAACUCCACCUCCAGCUGACCAGCCAGUCCUUGGGAAUGGAUGGAAAACGGCUUCCUGAGGAAGGAUCCACCUUAUCCUAACCUUGGCUGGCAAGUGUUCCGGGCACAAUUUCAGCAGCACCUUGGCCAUGCUGUGACACUAGUGCAGAGCCCUGGUGCUGGAGAAGACAAACAUGCUCAGCCCCUGGGGAGCUUCUCUUGCCAUCUGAUGGAAUGGGGAAAUUCCAAAGGCUACUGACAGCCCAGACACAGAGAAUCCAAAUUAAUUCUUGCUUUUAGGAUGGAAAUGUGGUGUGGGGGCUUGCAGUGGGAUGAACCAUGGUGAGUGCGUUGGUGUCCCUGGUACUUCCCAACAGCUGCUGUCUGAGCCUUCGUGGGAAAAGAAAAAUCAAAUUUCACUGCAGAAACCGAGAAACAGCAAAACUUCACUAUGAAAGUGCAAUUGGGAAGGUGAGCACAGAGGAGGAUCCUCUUGCUGCACGCCAGGCUGGAACAGGGAGUUGCAAUCUCCAGGCAGCAACUGGCAGAACGAGAGGACACAGUCUCAAGCUGCACCAAGGGAAAUAGAGGCUGAGUCCCUUUGGUGUGGAGAUGGGCAGCACAAGAGAUGGAUGUCCCUGCAGAGCGGCACCUCUCCAGCCCUGCUUUCGUCCUCUUGCUCCACUCUCAGGCAGGACAGGACUGAGCUGUGAGCAGGCAGGAGCUGCAGGGGAAGGGUGCCCUGUAGCAUCACACCCACAUUCCUGACCGGGCUGCUGGAUCCUGGUUUGGCCAGAAAAGCAGGUGCCUCACUGGACCGGGACAGGAGUGGGGCUUGCAGCACGGGCUGGGGUCAUGCUCCCAGCAGCAAGGCUGGGCACGCAUCAGGAUAUCCAGGCACAGAGAGGCCCUGGCUAAAUCCCAUCGGCCGGCUGUGGCCUUCUCGGCGGCUGCCUUCGGGCUGCAGGAGAACAGCCCUUCGUCACGGUGCGGGACCAUGGCAGAGCAUCCCUCCUGCCCGUUGGGCCGGCCGGCUUGCGGGGCCGGGCAGAAGCGAGACAGCCCCCAGCACACAUUGGCAGCAAGCCCGCGUGAGAGACAAGGACUUGUGGCUCUCGGCAUGAGCAGAUCGCAGCACGGAGCCGCGGUGUGGCCUCAACCCG
This is a long non-coding RNA of Zosterops lateralis melanops, 1580 nucleotides long. The record is from Ensembl. Lineage: Eukaryota; Metazoa; Chordata; Aves; Passeriformes; Zosteropidae.